AACUUUCAACAAUGGAUCUCUUGGUUCUGGCAUCGAUGAAGAACGCAGCGAAAUGCGAUAAGUAGUGUGAAUUGCAGAAUUCAGUGAAUCAUCGAAUCUUUGAACGCACAUUGCGCCCCAUGGAAUUCCGUGGGGCAUGCCUGUUCGAGCGUCAU
This 155-nucleotide ribosomal RNA is filed under the name Neoophiosphaerella sasicola. Its description in RNAcentral is "5.8S ribosomal RNA". It matches the Rfam family "5.8S ribosomal RNA". From Rfam's summary of the family: 5.8S ribosomal RNA (5.8S rRNA) is a component of the large subunit of the eukaryotic ribosome. It is transcribed by RNA polymerase I as part of the 45S precursor that also contains 18S and 28S rRNA. Lineage: Eukaryota; Fungi; Ascomycota; Dothideomycetes; Pleosporales; Lentitheciaceae. The record is from RNAcentral.